UACAGAGGUCUCAACCGUUGUUCGGAUUCAUUGGGCGUAAAGGGUGCGUAGGCGGCCAGGUAGGUCGGUUGUGAAAACUGGAGGCUCAACCUUCAGAGGUCGACCGAAACCAUCUGGCUAGAGUCCGGGAGAGGAGAGUGGAAUUCCUGGUGUAGCGGUGAAAUGCGCAGAUAUCAGGAAGAACACCCGUGGCGAAAGCGGCUCUCUGGAACGGUACUGACGCUGAGACGCGAAAGCGUGGGGAGCGAACAGG
This 253-nucleotide ribosomal RNA is filed under the name uncultured bacterium. RNAcentral's name for it is "partial 16S ribosomal RNA". It matches the Rfam family "Bacterial small subunit ribosomal RNA", at positions 524 to 776 of the family's 1533-position model. The record is from RNAcentral.